Long non-coding RNA from Cornus florida, 957 nucleotides. RefSeq lists it as uncharacterized. NCBI's taxonomy places the organism in Eukaryota, Viridiplantae, Streptophyta, Magnoliopsida, Cornales, Cornaceae. The record is from RefSeq and is a predicted model, not a curated record. The transcript is spliced from 3 exons.
AAAAAAAGAAAAAGGAUUAUUACAUAUAAAUGGACUUAGUGGUCCAAAUUUACCCAUACAUUGAGUAAAAGUCAAGUAUUUCUCUGUUUGACCCAAAAGUUGAGGUGGCACAUGAAAAAAAACUGUUCCUAAUGCCUCUUUCACAUUCCAUUCGUGCAACCCUCUCUCCCCCUUCUUUGUAAAUAGCGAUGAACAAACCCUUAACCAUAUGAUGACUUUCGUGCGACGAAGAACACGAUGAACAGCGAGCGGCGAUCAGCGACAGGCUAUUAGUGAGCAGCGACCAGAGGGGAGCGACGAAGGCCGGCGACCAGUCACUAUUGUUCAGUUCUACCAGGACGAAGUUUCUACCCGAUUCAUCACCAACUGUUUGGCACUAUGGUCAAGCACUAUCAAUUCUGGCGUCUCGUCACCAAUUUUCUCUACUUCCGGAAAAUGGCUACUUGGAUUUUGUACCAUGGACAAUGAGGUGGUUUUUUGAUAAGUGCAGACAGUAAGUCUCAAGUGCUUGAAGGUUUAUAAAUUUUUCAACAGCAGUGCUAGGAAAUUAAUGAUAUUCUUGACAAAUGGAUUUAGUUCCUAUUUUGGAACAUUGAUGAAUGGUGAAUUGUUUUGGAACAUUGAUAAAUGAUGAAUUUUGUAAUUGUAGAAUGAAUUUUUUGUAUAGUGAUAGGCAGACACUAUUCAUGCACAACUUGAAAGAUGCAUAAAAACAUUAACGCCACUAUUAUGAAAGAUGCCAAAGAGAGAUGUGUAAGACCUGUCAAUUCAUCACAUGGUUAAAGGUGCAUAGAAACAUUAAUGCCACUAUUAUGAAAGAUGCGAAAGAGAGAUGUGUAAGACCCUUUUGUCAAAUCAUCACAUUGGAAAAAUUGACUUGUCGGUGAAUUGGGCUCUAUUUUAGGAGACAUAUGAAGACACAAAUGUUAAAGAUAGAACUGUAAUAUAGAGAGAUAU